UCUGGUCCUUUUGUGCCCGCAGCCGCGGUAAUACGGAAGGUCCGGGCGUUAUCCGGAUUUCUUGGGUUUAAAGGGAGCGUAGGCCGGAGAUUAAGCGUGUUGUGAAAUGUAGACGCUCAACGUCUGCACUGCAGCGCGAACUGGUUUCCUUGAGUACGCACAAAGUGGGCGGAAUUCGUGGUGUAGCGGUGAAAUGCUUAGAUAUCACGAAGAACUCCGAUUGCGAAGGCAGCUCACUGGAGCGCAACUGACGCUGAAGCUCGAAAGUGCGGGUAUCGAACAGG
RNAcentral lists this ribosomal RNA (284 nucleotides) under Segatella copri DSM 18205. Its description in RNAcentral is "Prevotella copri DSM 18205 partial 16S ribosomal RNA". It matches the Rfam family "Bacterial small subunit ribosomal RNA", at positions 493 to 776 of the family's 1533-position model. Lineage: Bacteria; Pseudomonadati; Bacteroidota; Bacteroidia; Bacteroidales; Prevotellaceae. The record is from RNAcentral.